UGCUGCUGUUUUACUCGCCCCAAAAGACUAAAAAUAGUAUUUUUGAUCUCGGAAGCUAAGCAGGGUCGGGCCUGGUUAGUACUUGGAUGGGAGACCACCUAGGAAGACCAGGUGCUGUAGGAG
This is a ribosomal RNA of Pteropus vampyrus (large flying fox), 123 nucleotides long. NCBI's taxonomy places the organism in Eukaryota, Metazoa, Chordata, Mammalia, Chiroptera, Pteropodidae. The record is from Ensembl.